UAGCAUAUCAAUAAGCGGAGGAAAAGAAACCAACAGGGAUUGCCCUAGUAACGGCGAGUGAAGCGGCAACAGCUCAAAUUUGAAAUCUGGCUCUCUUUGGGGGUCCGAGUUGUAAUUUGCAGAGGAUGCUUUGGCAUUGGCGGCGUUCUAAGUUCCUUGGAACAGGACAUCACAGAGGGUGAGAAUCCCGUACGUGGUCGCCUGCCUUUGCCGUGUAAAGCUCCUUCGACGAGUCGAGUUGUUUGGGAAUGCAGCUCUAAAUGGGAGGUAAAUUUCUUCUAAAGCUAAAUACCGGCCAGAGACCGAUAGCGCACAAGUAGAGUGAUCGAAAGAUGAAAAGUACUUUGGAAAGAGAGUCAAAAAGCACGUGAAAUUGUUGAAAGGGAAGCGCUUGCAGCCAGACUURCCCGCAGUUGCUCACCUAGGCUUUGGCCUGGGGCACUCUUCUGCGGGCAGGCCAGCAUCAGUUUGGGCGGUUGGAUAAAGGCCUCUGUCACGUAUCUCCCUCCGGGGUGACCUUAUAGGGGAGGCGUAAUGCAACCAGCCCGGACUGAGGUCCGCGCAUCUGCUAGGAUGCUGGCGUAAUGGCUGUAAGCGGCCCGUCUUGAAACACGGACCAAGGAGUCUAACAUCUAUGCGAGUGUUUGGGUGUCAAGCCCGGGCGCGCAAUGAAAGUGAACGGAGGUGGGAACCCUUUGGGUGCACCAUCGACCGAUCCUGAUGUCUUCGGAUGGAUUUGAGUAAGAGCAUAGCUGUUGGGACCCGAAAGAUGGUGAACUAUGCUUGAAUAGGGUGAAGCCAGAGGAAACUCUGGUGGAGGCUCGCAGCGGUUCUGACGUGCAAAUCGAUCGUCAAAUUUGGGCAUAGGGGCGAAAGACUAAUCGAACCC
Molecule: ribosomal RNA, 889 nt
Filed under: Didymosphaeria variabile
Lineage: Eukaryota; Fungi; Ascomycota; Dothideomycetes; Pleosporales; Didymosphaeriaceae
Description: eukaryotic LSU rRNA
Rfam family: Eukaryotic large subunit ribosomal RNA
Source: RNAcentral